RNAcentral lists this long non-coding RNA (253 nucleotides) under Elaeis guineensis (African oil palm). Its description in RNAcentral is "long non-coding RNA (EGUI_LNC031901)". Lineage: Eukaryota; Viridiplantae; Streptophyta; Magnoliopsida; Arecales; Arecaceae. The record is from RNAcentral.
UUCCUUACUUAUUCCACACGUUCCUUAAUUUUGUAUGCCAUCAGAUGGCGCCUUGGGACAUAUGGGCAUGGAAGAGGAGGAGUCCUUCUCUGAGAAGGAACUCUACGCCAAAAUCAUUUUGGGACGCCCACUUUUUUGUGCGAGAAAUGGAAGAGUCCAUUUUAUGUCAAACUCUUAAUUCCUUCUUUUAUUUCUCCACGCGUUUCUUAAUUCUCCAUGUCAUGAGAUAGCUCUUAGAAUUAUGGGCACGGAA